CGGCGGACGGGUGAGUAACGCGUGGGUAACCUGCCUUAUACAGGGAGAUAACAGUUAGAAAUGACUGCUAAUACCGCAUAAGCGCACAGUACCGCAUGGUACAGUGUGAAAAACUCCGGUGGUAUAAGAUGGACCCGCGUCUGAUUAGCCAGUUGGCGGGGUAAUGGCCCACCAAAGCGACGAUCAGUAGCCGACCUGAGAGGGUGACCGGCCACAUUGGGACUGAGACACGGCCCAAACUCCUACGGGAGGCAGCAG
RNAcentral lists this ribosomal RNA (258 nucleotides) under uncultured bacterium. RNAcentral describes it as "partial 16S ribosomal RNA". It matches the Rfam family "Bacterial small subunit ribosomal RNA", at positions 96 to 354 of the family's 1533-position model. The record is from RNAcentral.